RNAcentral lists this long non-coding RNA (320 nucleotides) under Serinus canaria (Common canary). RNAcentral's name for it is "lncRNA (ENSSCAG00000009353.1)". Lineage: Eukaryota; Metazoa; Chordata; Aves; Passeriformes; Fringillidae. The record is from RNAcentral.
AGCAGAGUGGGGUGCAUGGAAGUGGCCUGGCCAGGCAAAGGGAAGUGGCUGCAGGAGUUCCUCUGCAGCCAUGUGUGCUUGACAUGCACAGAUCAGCCAAGAAUGCACACCAGCAGGUCAUUUGGAAACAGAUUACAAAACCUUUCUAACAAGCUUAUCAUGUGAAUUUCUGGUGCAAUCAUCCCCCCCUCUGUUUUCUGCAGACCUUACAUUUCCUGGGAAGGAGGAACUCUGUGCUGUCCCCAUGGAAUGGGAAGGACUUGGAUGCUUCACUAGGGCUUCUCUCUUCACCCCUCAUGAGCAGGUGUGCUGACCUUUGC